AAGAUGGGCCCGCGUCCAAUUAGCUAGUUGGUGAGGUAACGGCUCACCAAGGCGACGAUUGGUAGCCGAACUGAGAGGUUGAUCGGCCACAUUGGGACUGAGAGACGGCCCAGACUCCUACGGGAGGCAGCAGUGGGGAGUAUUGCACAAUGGGGGAAACCCUGAUGCAGCAACGCCGCGUGAAGGAUGAAGGUCUUCGGAUUGUAAACUUCUUUGAUUGGGGAAGAAGAAGUGACGGUACCCAAAAAACAAGCCACGGCUAACUACGUGCCAGCAGCCGCGGUAAUACGUAGGUGGCAAGCGUUGUCCGGAAUUACUGGGUGUAAAGGGCGUGUAGGCGGGGAUGCAAGUCAGGUGUGAAAGCCCAUGGCUCAACUGUGGGACUGCAUCUGAAACUGAAUCUCUUGAGUACUGGAGAGGGAAGUGGAAUUCCUAGUGUAGCGGUGAAAUGCGUAGAGAUUAGGAGGAACACCAGUGGCGAAGGCGGCUUCCUGGACAGUAACUGACGCUGAGGCGCGAAAGCGUGGGGAGCGAACAGGAUUAGAUACCCUGGUAGUCCACGCCGUAAACGAUGGAUACUAGGUGUAGGAGGUAUCGACCCCUUCUGUGCCGGAGUUAACACAUUAAGUAUCCCACCUGGGGAAUACGACCGCAAGGUUGAAACUCAAAGGAAUUGACGGGGGCCCGCACAAGCAGUGGAGUAUGUGGUUUAAUUCGAAGCAACGCGAAGAACCUUACCAGGGCUUGACAUCCCUUGACAGCUCUAGAGAUAGAGUUUCCCUUCGGGGCAAGGAGACAGGUGGUGCAUGGUUGUCGUCAGCUCGUGUCGUGAGAUGUUGGGUUAAGUCCCGUAACGAGCGCAACCCUUAUUGUUAGUUGCCAGCAAGUAAAGUUGGGCACUCUAACGAGACUGCCGGUGAUAUAUCGGAGGAAGGUGGGGAUGACGUCAAAUCAUCAUGCCCCUUAUGUCCUGGGCUACACACGUACUACAAUGGCUGGUACAGAGGCGAGCUAAGCCGCGAGGUGGAGCCAAUCCCCAAAACCAGUCCCAGUUCGGAUUGCAGGCUGCAAUUCGCCUGCAUGAAGUGGGAAUUGCUAGUAAUGGCAGGUC
This 1111-nucleotide ribosomal RNA is filed under the name uncultured organism. Its description in RNAcentral is "bacterial SSU rRNA". It matches the Rfam family "Bacterial small subunit ribosomal RNA", at positions 222 to 1350 of the family's 1533-position model. The record is from RNAcentral.